Molecule: long non-coding RNA, 2091 nt
Organism: Phyllostomus discolor (pale spear-nosed bat)
Lineage: Eukaryota; Metazoa; Chordata; Mammalia; Chiroptera; Phyllostomidae
Exons: 2
Source: RefSeq, a predicted model, not a curated record
UAGUUUUCUCCUAUAUUUUCAUUUGAGACAUGUUUCUUUGUCUCCUCAUUUUUGGCUGCCUCUCUGUGUUUGUUUCUGUAUAUUAAGUGGAUCUGCUGUGUCUCCCAGACUUGGCAGGGUGGCCUUAUGUAGUAGGUGUCCUGUGGAACACAGUGACAUAAUCUCCCUGGUCACCUGAGCCCGGUGCUCCAGGAGUGUCCCUUGUGUAGAUUGUGUGUGCCUUUCUGUUGUCGUUGAGCCUUGGUUUAUCAAUGGAUGGGGCCGAUCCUUGGCUGACCGGAUAUGAGACUGGCCACAACCACAGUGAGAUUCGCCCCAGCGGGGCUCUGGUUCCUGCCAAGGCCACCCUUUGUGUAUGCCAUUUGUGGAGCUAAUUGAGUGGUGCUGUUAGGCUGGCCACCAGCAUGUUGGUUCUGGGGCCUCUUUGGAGAAGCUUUGGUGCAGGUGGAGGCCACCUGCUGCCUAUGCCCAGCCCAGGGACACUUGGUAGGAGAUACAAAGUCAUCUGAGGUUGACAGCUACAUGUGCUGGGCCCAGAGGUAUGUGGAAGGGGCCAAGGUGUAAGCCAUGGUUGGCUCCCACCCGCACCAGGCCUGAGGCCACUCAGCAAAGGCACAGGGCAUACCAAGGCUAACCACCAGCUGCCUGGGGUCUGCAGAUCUUGGGAAGUCUUUAAGAAAACUCUCAGCAGAGGCUGAGGUUGCCUGUGAGGCGCUGCCAAGGCAGUGUGCAGUUGGGUGGAAUGGGGUUUCAGUCGGUCACCAGGGUGAAGCUACCAGUGUUCCCCAGGUUAAUGCAGAUUUUCCUUGGCGCCCACCUGCCCCUGCAGGCUGGGUAAGGAGAGGGGUCAACACAAGUAGUGGCGGCCCUCACCCCAAAGCCACACAGUUCAGUUUCUUUCCAUAUGACUCUGGUGCCUUUUGAGCUGCUGGCCCUUCACAGAAGCUCAGGGUGAAUGCCUGGAAGCAGUUGAGUCUGUGCAUGGGCCCUUUAAGAGGACUGCUGGUUUCUAGCAGCCUUCUGUCUGACCUGGAGGUAGUCCCCACGGAGCUGGGUGUGGUGAGGUCUUGGAGUCACCAGGGUUGGGUGAGUGAUGUUUCCCUGGUUAAUGCAGAUUCAGAUUUGGCACUUGACUGCCACUGUAGGUUAUAUGAGGGGAGGGCUCCAUGGCAGCCCUCGCCUUGAAGUCACACAACUCAUUCUCUCCAUGUCUGUCUCUGGUGCCUUUCGAGCUGCUCUGAGUGCCUGUGAGCAAGUGAGUCUAUGUGUGGGCCCCUUUACAAGGAUACCUAGGUUUCCAGCCGCCCUCCUUCUCACCAUACUGGCACAGAGUCUCUGCUGGGCUUCACAGCCAGCUGUUACAGGGACAACUCUUCCAGGCAGUGGAUUCCUGGGUGAGGGAGCCGGUAUGGGGGCGCUGGGACCCCUCCUAAGUGGGGCCUCUGCUGCCGGGAUAUCCCUCCUGAUUCUCAGCUGCCAGGCGUGGGUGUGGGACCAGCCUCUUUCACCUCUCUGCCUCCUCUAUGUGGCCUCUUCUUUAUACUCUUAGUUCUUGGAGCUCCAUUUGACUAGUCUUCAGGUACACUGCUCUGCAAUUCAUUUGAGAUUUUAGUGUGGUCACGGGAGGAGGCGAGGUCAGCACUGACCUACCCCAGCAUUUUGACCAGAACCCUUUCGUGUGACCUUCUUUUGCUGUUCUAUUCCUGAUUGUUCUAGAGGUUGCAUUUACAUCCUUAACUUAUUUAAAUUCACUAAAAAUUACUAGUUAUACUUUUCCUACCUCCCAUGACAUGCAAGGAACUUAGAACACUUUAAAUUUACUCUCCCUUUCUGCCUUUGGUGCUAUAUUUGUCUUAUUUUAAAAUUCUCUGUGUGUAUGUAUUAGUGUUUUUAAACAGUCUGUCCUUAUUUAGGUUUAUCUACAUUUUAACAUAGAGUUGUAGGCUAACAAAGGGUGGUACCUGGUCCUUUGAUGGUGACGUUCCUGUUUUCUGGCUUCUGUCCCUUCCCUGUAUCCUCGCAUUUCCUUUGAAGGUUCUGUGCUUUUGUGCCAUUUGGUUCUCUUUUAUAGUUUUCAGUGAGCCAUAUAAA